RNAcentral lists this ribosomal RNA (1246 nucleotides) under metagenome. RNAcentral describes it as "bacterial SSU rRNA". It matches the Rfam family "Eukaryotic small subunit ribosomal RNA", at positions 20 to 1063 of the family's 1831-position model. The record is from RNAcentral.
GUAGUCAUAUGCUUGUCUCAAAGAUUAAGCCAUGCAUGUCUAAGUAUAAGUAUUUAUACAGCGAAACUGCGAAUGGCUCAUUAAAUCAGUUAUAGUUUAUUUGAUUGUACCUUUUACUACUUGGAUAACCGUAGUAAUUCUAGAGCUAAUACAUGCUAAAUGUCCCGACUUCGGAAGGGAUGCAUUUAUUAGAUACAAAAACCAAUGUGAAUUGCAACUUUUGUUGUAGUUCGCCAUUUGGUGAUUCAUGAUAACUUUGCGAAUCGCAUUUGCUUCGUGCUGGCGAUUUUUCAUUCAAAUUUCUGCCCUAUCAACUUUCGAUGGUAGUGUAGUGGACUACCAUGGUGAUAACGGGUAACGGGGAAUUAGGGUUCGAUUCCGGAGAGGGUGCCUUAAAAAUGGCAACCACUUCCAAGGAAGGCAGCAGGCGCGCAAAUUACCCAAUCGUAAUACACGGAGGUAGUGACAAUAAAUAACAAUACAGGUCCCGACAAGGGACUUGUAAUUGGAAUGAGUACAAUUUAAACCCCUUAACAAGGAACAAUUGGAGGACAAGUCUGGUGCCAGCACCCGCGGUAAUUCCAGCUCCAAUAGCGUAUAUUAAAGUUGUUGCAGUUAAAAAGCUCGUAGUUGGAUUUUGGAAGUUCUUGGAUGUCUGAAUUUGAUUGGGUCUUUUUUAAAGACUUGGUUUCUUUUGGCUCCAACGUCUAUUGGGCUCAAUAUUGAUUCUUUGAGGGUUGGUUUACUCCAAUUUUUGAGGGAUUGGUAUCCGAUAGAAUGUGAACCGGUCUGCUUUGGUCAUUUUUUUGAUCAUUGUGUGUACUGUUCGCAUACUUCUUCUUUUGGGUCAGUCUAAGUCUGCUCUUAAGUGAGUGGAUUUAUUGACUCCCAAUCGUUUACUUUGAAAAAAUUAGAGUGUUUAAAGCAGGCGUUUUUUUGCCUUGAAUAAAUUAGCAUGGGAUAACAAAACAUGACAGGGGACACGUUUUGUUGGUUUAAAAAUUGGUGAGAGAAAUUUUAUUUCUCUCAUCAAUCGAGUCUCAGGUAAUGAUUAAUAGGAAUUGUUGGGGACAUUUAUAUUCCAUGGCUAGAGGUGAAAUUCUUGGAUUCAUGGAAGAUAAACUAAUGCGAAAGCAUCUGUCAAGGAUGUUUUCAUUAAUCAAGAACGAAAGUUAGGGGAUCGAAGACGAUCAGAUACCGUCGUAGUCUUAAUUAUAAACUAUGCCGACCAGGGAUUGGGAGACGU